CAAAGAGACAAGGAUAUCACAACCUUUUACAAUCUCAUGGUUACUCUCUGGCAGGAGCUGGACCAGUGCUAUGAGAAUGAUUGGGAAAAUCCCAAUGAUGCAACUAGGUUCAAGAAGAGAGAAAAGAAUGAUAGAGUUUGCAUGUUUUUAGCAGGCUUAAAUCAAGAACUGGAUGAGGUGUGUGGUAGAAUUUUGGGUAGAAAACCACUGCUGUCAAUGCGAGAAGUGUUCUCUAAAGUUAGGAGGGAGGAAUCCAGGAGGAAAAUCAUGUUGCGAAACUCUAAUGGUACAAGGAUGCAAGAAGCUGAAAGUUCAGCCUUGGUUGCAAGGGGACACGAACCAGAAGGAGAAAAAAAGAAACGACAUUGGUGUAAUCAUUAUAGAAGACCAUGGCACACUAAGGAAACCUGCUGAAAACUCCAUGGAAAACCACCCAACUCAAAAAAGAAACCAACUGGAGAGGGUCGGGCUUUCCAAACCUCAAAUGCUGAAAAUGUGGAGCAGAAAGGCAACUCUGAGUCAUCUUCAUUCACUAAGGAACAACUAGAGCACCUGUAUAAACUCUUUACCACAAAAAUGUCAGUGACUCCAUCCUCUUCUUUGGCUCAAAAAGGAGUUGAGUUCGGGGAGGAUGAUUGGUAGUUCUAAAGAGGUUGAUGGUCCCUAUCUCUUUGAAGAUGAGUCUGGUCGUAAGGAGAAACUCCAGAAAAAUUGUCUCAAUUCAAUUCUGAUUCAUAAAGAUGAAGAAAUAAUGCUAUAGCAUUAUCGGCUAGGUCACCCCAAUUUUUUUGUAUUUGAAGCAUUUAUUUCCUGACCUCUUUAAAAAUAAAAAUCCAAAUUUAUUUUCU
Long non-coding RNA from Glycine soja, 848 nucleotides. RefSeq lists it as uncharacterized. Lineage: Eukaryota; Viridiplantae; Streptophyta; Magnoliopsida; Fabales; Fabaceae. The transcript is spliced from 2 exons. The record is from RefSeq and is a predicted model, not a curated record.